AUGCUCACUUCAGCAGCACAUAUACUAAAAUUGGAAUGAUACAAAGAUUAGCAUGGCCAGUGCUCAGGGAUGACACACAAAUUCGUGAAGCAUUCCAUAUUUUU
This is a small nuclear RNA of Myotis daubentonii (Daubenton's bat), 104 nucleotides long. Lineage: Eukaryota; Metazoa; Chordata; Mammalia; Chiroptera; Vespertilionidae. The record is from RefSeq and is a predicted model, not a curated record.